GACGAACGCUGGCGGCGUGCUUAACACAUGCAAGUCGAACGGAAAGGCCCUGCUUUUGUGGGGUGCUCGAGUGGCGAACGGGUGAGUAACACGUGAGUAACCUGCCCUUGACUUUGGGAUAACUUCAGGAAACUGGGGCUAAUACCGGAUAGGAGCUCCUGCUGCAUGGUGGGGGUUGGAAAGUUUCGGCGGUUGGGGAUGGACUCGCGGCUUAUCAGCUUGUUGGUGGGGUAGUGGCUUACCAAGGGUUUGACCGGUAGGCCGCCUGAGAGGGGGAACGGCCACCAUGGGACUGAGGGAGGGACCAGAGGCCUACGGGGGGCAACAGGGGGGAAUAUGGUCCAACGGGCCGGAGUCUGAUGAGAAAACCUCCGGGGCGGGAAGACGGCCUUUUGGGUGAGAACCGCUUUCGCCUGUGACGAAGCGUGAGUGACGGUAAUGGGUAAAGAAGCACCGGCUAACUACGUG
RNAcentral lists this ribosomal RNA (468 nucleotides) under uncultured bacterium. Its description in RNAcentral is "partial 16S ribosomal RNA". It matches the Rfam family "Bacterial small subunit ribosomal RNA", at positions 28 to 507 of the family's 1533-position model. The record is from RNAcentral.